Molecule: ribosomal RNA, 2111 nt
Filed under: Staphylococcus aureus
Lineage: Bacteria; Bacillati; Bacillota; Bacilli; Caryophanales; Staphylococcaceae
Description: partial 23S ribosomal RNA
Rfam family: Bacterial large subunit ribosomal RNA
Source: RNAcentral
GGUGAAAAGCACCCCGGAAGGGGAGUGAAAUAGAACCUGAAACCGUGUGCUUACAAGUAGUCAGAGCCCGUUAAUGGGUGAUGGCGUGCCUUUUGUAGAAUGAACCGGCGAGUUACGAUUUGAUGCAAGGUUAAGCAGUAAAUGUGGAGCCGUAGCGAAAGCGAGUCUGAAUAGGGCGUUUAGUAUUUGGUCGUAGACCCGAAACCAGGUGAUCUACCCUUGGUCAGGUUGAAGUUCAGGUAACACUGAAUGGAGGACCGAACCGACUUACGUUGAAAAGUGAGCGGAUGAACUGAGGGUAGCGGAGAAAUUCCAAUCGAACCUGGAGAUAGCUGGUUCUCUCCGAAAUAGCUUUAGGGCUAGCCUCAAGUGAUGAUUAUUGGAGGUAGAGCACUGUUUGGACGAGGGGCCCCUCUCGGGUUACCGAAUUCAGACAAACUCCGAAUGCCAAUUAAUUUAACUUGGGAGUCAGAACAUGGGUGAUAAGGUCCGUGUUCGAAAGGGAAACAGCCCAGACCACCAGCUAAGGUCCCAAAAUAUAUGUUAAGUGGAAAAGGAUGUGGCGUUGCCCAGACAACUAGGAUGUUGGCUUAGAAGCAGCCAUCAUUUAAAGAGUGCGUAAUAGCUCACUAGUCGAGUGACACUGCGCCGAAAAUGUACCGGGGCUAAACAUAUUACCGAAGCUGUGGAUUGUCCUUUGGACAAUGGUAGGAGAGCGUUCUAAGGGCGUUGAAGCAUGAUCGUAAGGACAUGUGGAGCGCUUAGAAGUGAGAAUGCCGGUGUGAGUAGCGAAAGACGGGUGAGAAUCCCGUCCACCGAUUGACUAAGGUUUCCAGAGGAAGGCUCGUCCGCUCUGGGUUAGUCGGGUCCUAAGCUGAGGCCGACAGGCGUAGGCGAUGGAUAACAGGUUGAUAUUCCUGUACCACCUAUAAUCGUUUUAAUCGAUGGGGGGACGCAGUAGGAUAGGCGAAGCGUGCGAUUGGAUUGCACGUCUAAGCAGUAAGGCUGAGUAUUAGGCAAAUCCGGUACUCAUUAAGGCUGAGCUGUGAUGGGGAGAAGACAUUGUGUCUUCGAGUCGUUGAUUUCACACUGCCGAGAAAAGCCUCUAGAUAGAAAAUAGGUGCCCGUACCGCAAACCGACACAGGUAGUCAAGAUGAGAAUUCUAAGGUGAGCGAGCGAACUCUCGUUAAGGAACUCGGCAAAAUGACCCCGUAACUUCGGGAGAAGGGGUGCUCUUUAGGGUUAACGCCCAGAAGAGCCGCAGUGAAUAGGCCCAAGCGACUGUUUAUCAAAAACACAGGUCUCUGCUAAACCGUAAGGUGAUGUAUAGGGGCUGACGCCUGCCCGGUGCUGGAAGGUUAAGAGGAGUGGUUAGCUUCUGCGAAGCUACGAAUCGAAGCCCCAGUAAACGGCGGCCGUAACUAUAACGGUCCUAAGGUAGCGAAAUUCCUUGUCGGGUAAGUUCCGACCCGCACGAAAGGCGUAACGAUUUGGGCACUGUCUCAACGAGAGACUCGGUGAAAUCAUAGUACCUGUGAAGAUGCAGGUUACCCGCGACAGGACGGAAAGACCCCGUGGAGCUUUACUGUAGCCUGAUAUUGAAAUUCGGCACAGCUUGUACAGGAUAGGUAGGAGCCUUUGAAACGUGAGCGCUAGCUUACGUGGAGGCGCUGGUGGGAUACUACCCUAGCUGUGUUGGCUUUCUAACCCGCACCACUUAUCGUGGUGGGAGACAGUGUCAGGCGGGCAGUUUGACUGGGGCGGUCGCCUCCUAAAAGGUAACGGAGGCGCUCAAAGGUUCCCUCAGAAUGGUUGGAAAUCAUUCAUAGAGUGUAAAGGCAUAAGGGAGCUUGACUGCGAGACCUACAAGUCGAGCAGGGUCGAAAGACGGACUUAGUGAUCCGGUGGUUCCGCAUGGAAGGGCCAUCGCUCAACGGAUAAAAGCUACCCCGGGGAUAACAGGCUUAUCUCCCCCAAGAGUUCACAUCGACGGGGAGGUUUGGCACCUCGAUGUCGGCUCAUCGCAUCCUGGGGCUGUAGUCGGUCCCAAGGGUUGGGCUGUUCGCCCAUUAAAGCGGUACGCGAGCUGGGUUCAGAACGUCGUGAGACA